This 860-nucleotide ribosomal RNA is filed under the name uncultured archaeon Arc.22. Its description in RNAcentral is "bacterial SSU rRNA". It matches the Rfam family "Archaeal small subunit ribosomal RNA", at positions 21 to 859 of the family's 1478-position model. The record is from RNAcentral.
CCCCACUGCUAUCGGGGUGGGACUUAGACAUGCAAGUCGAACGCCUCCCAGCCGUCGGAGGAGGAGUGGCAGACGGCUCAUUAACACGUAGCUAACCUAACCUCAGGACAGAGAUAACCCCGGGAAACUGGGGCUAAUCCCUGAUAGAUGAGGAGGCCUGGAAUGGUUCCUCGUCGAAAGGGCUCUGGGACCGUGCUCUCAGCGCUGCCUGAGGAUGGGGCUGCGGCCGAUCAGGUAGUUGGCGAGGUAACGGCUCACCAAGCCUAUAACCGGUACGGCCGUGGGAGCGGGAGCCCGGAGAUGGGCACUGAGACAAGGGCCCAAGCCCUACGGGGUGCAGCAGUCGCGAAAACUCCGCAAUAUGCGAAAGCGUGACGGGGCUACCCCGAGUGCUGUCCGCUGAGGAUGGCUUUUCUCCGGUGUAAUGAGCCGGAGGAAUAAGGAGAGGGCAAGUCUGGUGUCAGCCGCCGCGGUAAUACCAGCUCUCCGAGUGGUGGGGGUGAUUAUUGAGCCUAAAGCGUCCGUAGCUGGCUCGGCAAGUCUUCCGUCAAAUCCAGCGAUCUAAUCGUUGGACUGCGGGAGAUACUGUCGGGGUAGGGGGCGGGGAAGCCGACGGUACUCUUAGGGUAGGGGUGAAAUCCUAUAAUCCUAGGAGGACCACCAGUGGCGAAGGCGGUCGGCCAGAACGCGCCCGACGGUGAGGGACGAAAGCUGGGGGAGCGAACCGGAUUAGAUACCCGGGUAGUCCCAGCUGUAAACGAUGCGGGCUAGGUGUUGGAGUGAUCAUGAAUCACUCCAGUGCCGCAGGGAAGCUGUUAAGCCUGCCGCUUGGGAAGUACGGUCGCAAGACUGAAACUUAA